GUAUUGGUGGUUCAGUGGUAGAGUUCUCACCUUCCAUGAGAUAGACCUGAGUUUGAUUCCCAGCCAACGCA
This 71-nucleotide transfer RNA is filed under the name Loxodonta africana (African savanna elephant). It matches the Rfam family "tRNA". Rfam says of the family: Transfer RNA (tRNA) molecules are approximately 80 nucleotides in length. Their secondary structure includes four short double-helical elements and three loops (D, anti-codon, and T loops). The record is from Rfam by way of RNAcentral. Lineage: Eukaryota; Metazoa; Chordata; Mammalia; Proboscidea; Elephantidae.